This 833-nucleotide ribosomal RNA is filed under the name Hyalorhinocladiella minuta-bicolor. RNAcentral's name for it is "SSU rRNA". It matches the Rfam family "Eukaryotic small subunit ribosomal RNA", at positions 74 to 916 of the family's 1831-position model. Lineage: Eukaryota; Fungi; Ascomycota; Sordariomycetes; Ophiostomatales; Ophiostomataceae. The record is from RNAcentral.
UUAUACGGCGAAACUGCGAAUGGCUCAUUAAAUCAGUUAUCGUUUAUUUGAUAGUACCUUACUACUUGGAUAACCGUGGUAAUUCUAGAGCUAAUACAUGCUGAAAACCCCGACUUCGGAAGGGAUGUAUUUAUUAGAUUAAAGACCAACGCCCUUCGGGGCUCCCUGGUGAUUCAUAAUAACUUGUCGAAUCGCACGGCCUUGCGCCGGCGAUGGCUCAUUCAAAUUUCUGCCCUAUCAACUUUCGACGGCUGGAUCUGGGCCAGCCGUGGUGACAACGGGUAACGGAGGGUUAGGGCUCGGCCCCGGAGAAGGAGCCUGAGAAACGGCUACUACAUCCAAGGAAGGCAGCAGGCGCGCAAAUUACCCAAUCCCGACGCGGGGAGGUAGUGACAAUAAAUACUGAUACAGGGCUCUUUUGGGUCUUGUAAUUGGAAUGAGUACAAUUUAAUUCCCUUAACGAGGAACAAUUGGAGGGCAAGUCUGGUGCCAGCAGCCGCGGUAAUUCCAGCUCCAAUAGCGUAUAUUAAAGUUGUUGCAGUUAAAAAGCUCGUAGUUGAACCUUGGGCCUGGCUGGCCGGUCCGCCUCACCGCGUGCACUGGUCCGGCCGGGCCUUUCCCUCUGGGGAGCCGCAUGCCCUUCACUGGGCGUGUCGGGGAACCAGGACUUUUACUUUGAAAAAAUUAGAGUGUUCAAAGCAGGCUUAUGCUCGAAUACAUUAGCAUGGAAUAAUAGAAUAGGACGUGUGGUUCUAUUUUGUUGGUUUCUAGGACCGCCGUAAUGAUUAAUAGGGACAGUCGGGGGCAUCAGUAUUCAAUUGUCAGAGGUGAAA